Molecule: ribosomal RNA, 450 nt
Filed under: uncultured organism
Description: partial 16S ribosomal RNA
Rfam family: Bacterial small subunit ribosomal RNA
Source: RNAcentral
CACUCCUACGGGAGGCAGCAGUGGGGAAUAUUGGACAAUGGGCGCAAGCCUGAUCCAGCCAUGCCGCGUGAGUGAUGAAGGCCCUAGGGUUGUAAAGCUCUUUCACCGGUGAAGAUAAUGACGGUAACCGGAGAAGAAGCCCCGGCUAACUUCGUGCCAGCAGCCGCGGUAAUACGAAGGGGGCUAGCGUUGUUCGGAUUUACUGGGCGUAAAGCGCACGUAGGCGGACUAUUAAGUCAGGGGUGAAAUCCCGGGGCUCAACCCCGGAACUGCCUUUGAUACUGGUAGUCUUGAGUUCGAGAGAGGUGAGUGGAAUUCCGAGUGUAGAGGUGAAAUUCGUAGAUAUUCGGAGGAACACCAGUGGCGAAGGCGGCUCACUGGCUCGAUACUGACGCUGAGGUGCGAAAGCGUGGGGAGCAAACAGGAUUAGAAACCCGGGUAGUCCCAUGA